GAUGAACGCUAGCUACAGGCUUAACACAUGCAAGUCGAGGGGAAACGACAUCGAAAGCUUGCUCUUGAUGGGCGUCGACCGGCGCACGGGUGAGUAACGCGUCUCCCACCUGCCCACCACUUGGGGUUAACCUUGCGAAAGUAAGACUAAUACCCAAUGAGAUCCCCCGAAGGCAUCCAAAUGGAAUAAAGAUUUAUCGGUGAUGGAUGGGGAUGCGUCUGCUUAGCUUGUUGGCGGGGUGACGGCCCACCAAGGCAACGUUCAGUAGGGGUUCUGAGAGGAAGGUCCCCCACAUUGGAACUGAGACACGGUCCAAACUCCGACGGGAGGCAGCAGUGAGGAAUAUUGGUCAAUGGGCGAGAGCCUGAACCAGCCAAGUAGCGUGCAGGAGGACGGCCCUAGGGGUUGUAAACUGCUUGUAUAAGGGAAUAAAGUGGGUCACGUGUGACUUUUUGCAUGUACCUUAUGAAUAAGGACCGGCUAAUUCCGUG
This 491-nucleotide ribosomal RNA is filed under the name uncultured bacterium. RNAcentral's name for it is "partial 16S ribosomal RNA". It matches the Rfam family "Bacterial small subunit ribosomal RNA", at positions 28 to 507 of the family's 1533-position model. The record is from RNAcentral.